AUGAACGCUAGCUACAGGCUUAACACAUGCAAGUCGAGGGGCAGCAUGUUGGUUGCUUGCAACCAAUGAUGGCGACCGGCGCACGGGUGAGUAACGCGUAUCCAACCUUCCCCAUAGUAGAGGAUAGCCCGGCGAAAGUCGGAUUAAUACUCUAUGUUGUGUCAUGAGGACAUCUGAAUAACACCAAAGAUUUAUCGCUAUGGGAUGGGGAUGCGUCUGAUUAGCUUGUCGGCGGGGUAACGGCCCACCGAGGCAACGAUCAGUAGGGGUUCUGAGAGGAAGGUCCCCCACAUUGGUACUGAGACACGGACCAAACUCCUACGGGAGGCAGCAGUGAGGAAUAUUGGUCAAUGGGCGCGAGCCUGAACCAGCCAAGUAGCGUGCAAGGAUGACUGCCCUAUGGGUUGUAAACUGCUUUUAUGCGGGAAUAAAGUCAGGUACGUGUACCUGUUUGUAUGUACCGCAUGAAUAAGGACCGGCUAAUUCCGUGCCAGCCGCGGC
RNAcentral lists this ribosomal RNA (501 nucleotides) under uncultured bacterium. RNAcentral's name for it is "bacterial SSU rRNA". It matches the Rfam family "Bacterial small subunit ribosomal RNA", at positions 29 to 518 of the family's 1533-position model. The record is from RNAcentral.